UACGGAGGGGGCUAGCGUUGUUCGGAAUUACUGGGCGUAAAGCGCACGUAGGCGGCUUUGCAAGUUAGAGGUGAAAGCCCGGGGCUCAACUCCGGAAUUGCCUUUAAAACUGCAUCGCUAGAAUUGUGGAGAGGUAAGUGGAAUUCCGAGUGUAGAGGUGAAAUUCGUAGAUAUUCGCAAGAACACCAGUGGCGAAGGCGGCUCACUGGCCCGGUACUGACGCUGAGGCACGAAAGCGUGGGGAGCAAACAGG
Molecule: ribosomal RNA, 253 nt
Filed under: uncultured bacterium
Lineage: Bacteria
Description: partial 16S ribosomal RNA
Rfam family: Bacterial small subunit ribosomal RNA
Source: RNAcentral